RNAcentral lists this ribosomal RNA (208 nucleotides) under uncultured bacterium. RNAcentral describes it as "partial 16S ribosomal RNA". It matches the Rfam family "Bacterial small subunit ribosomal RNA", at positions 1293 to 1500 of the family's 1533-position model. The record is from RNAcentral.
UCGGAUUGUAGUCUGNAACCCGACUACAUGAAGCUGGAAUCGCUAGUAAUCGCGGAUCAGAAUGCCGCGGUGAAUACGUUCCCGGGUCUUGUACACACCGCCCGUCACACCAUGGGAGUCGGAAAUGCCCGAAGUCUGUGACCUAACCGAGAGGGAGGAGCAGCCGAAGGCAGGUCUGAUGACUGGGGUGAAGUCGUAACAAGGUAAC